This 741-nucleotide ribosomal RNA is filed under the name uncultured Staphylococcus sp. RNAcentral describes it as "bacterial SSU rRNA". It matches the Rfam family "Bacterial small subunit ribosomal RNA", at positions 46 to 769 of the family's 1533-position model. Lineage: Bacteria; Bacillati; Bacillota; Bacilli; Caryophanales; Staphylococcaceae. The record is from RNAcentral.
GCCUAAUACAUGCAAGUCGAGCGAACGGACGAGAAGCUUGCUUCUCCGAUGUUAGCGGCGGACGGGUGAGUAACACGUGGAUAACCUACCUAUAAGACUGGGAUAACUUCGGGAAACCGGAGCUAAUACCGGAUAAUAUUUUGAACCGCAUGGUUCAAAAGUGAAAGACGGUCUUGCUGUCACUUAUAGAUGGAUCCGCGCUGCAUUAGCUAGUUGGUAAGGUAACGGCUUACCAAGGCAACGAUGCAUAGCCGACCUGAGAGGGUGAUCGGCCACACUGGAACUGAGACACGGUCCAGACUCCUACGGGAGGCAGCAGUAGGGAAUCUUCCGCAAUGGGCGAAAGCCUGACGGAGCAACGCCGCGUGAGUGAUGAAGAUCUUCGGAUCGUAAAACUCUGUUAUUAGGGAAGAACAUAUGUGUAAGUAACUGUGCACAUCUUGACGGUACCUAAUCAGAAAGCCACGGCUAACUACGUGCCAGCAGCCGCGGUAAUACGUAGGUGGCAAGCGUUAUCCGGAAUUAUUGGGCGUAAAGCGCGCGUAGGCGGUUUUUUAAGUCUGAUGUGAAAGCCCACGGCUCAACCGUGGAGGGUCAUUGGAAACUGGAAAACUUGAGUGCAGAAGAGGAAAGUGGAAUUCCAUGUGUAGCGGUGAAAUGCGCAGAGAUAUGGAGGAACACCAGUGGCGAAGGCGACUUUCUGGUCUGUAACUGACGCUGAUGUGCGAAAGCGUGGGGAUC